Non-coding RNA from Malus domestica (apple), 1654 nucleotides. The record is from RefSeq and is a predicted model, not a curated record. Lineage: Eukaryota; Viridiplantae; Streptophyta; Magnoliopsida; Rosales; Rosaceae.
AAAAAUGAAGUCGUGUGCGCAUCCCAUUUCCCACGUGCUAUUUCAAGUUCAACAGUCACAAAGACCAGAGUACAGUAUAUAUAUAACCAGCCUUCGAGCAAAACUCAAAACCCCACUCCGCCGCCGCCGCCCCUCUUUCUCCUCCGGCUCCAACCAAAUCUCCAAAAUGUCCACUUUCACCCACCAACACAAUGGCCUCCUCCUCAAGACGCCCCUCCCCGGCCGGUCUCGGGACCCCGUGUCCAGGUUCCGACCCGGUCCAUUCACAGUCCGAAUGUCUCUCCAGGAGACCGGUCCAUCACUCGCCGUGGUCGGCGUCACCGGCGCAGUCGGUCAGGAGUUCCUCUCCGUCCUCCAAGACCGCGACUUUCCUUUCCGUUCAAUAAAGAUGCUCGCCUCCAAGCGCUCCGCGGGUCAGAACUUGAACUUCCUCGGCCAAGACUACGUCGUUGAGGAGCUCACCCACGACAGCUUUGACGGCGUCGAUAUCGCCCUCUUCAGCGCCGGCGGGUCAAUCAGCAAGGAGUUCGGUCCCGUAGCCGUAGAGCGCGGCACCAUUGUCGUUGAUAACAGCUCUGCUUUCCGGAUGCAAAAUGGCGUGCCGCUUGUGGUCCCUGAAGUCAAUCCGGAGGCUAUGGAGGGAAUCAAGGUUGGGAAGGGAAAGGGGGCGCUCAUUGCUAACCCUAAUUGCUCCACCAUUAUUUGUUUAAUGGCUGUCACUCCUCUCCAUCGCCAUUCCAAGGUAAAACGAAUGGUGGUUAGCACAUAUCAGGCUGCUAGUGGAGCUGGUGCUGCUGCCAUGAGAGAGCUUGAGCUGCAAACUAAGGAGGUCCUGGAAGGGAAGCCACCAACCACUAAGAUAUUUUCGCGACAGUAUGCGUUUAAUUUGUUUUCGCACAACUCGGCAGUUCUUUCGAAUGGAUAUAAUGAAGAGGAAAUGAAACUAGUCAAGGAGACACGAAAAAUAUGGAGUGACAAUGAUGUCAAGGUAACUGCCACAUGUAUACGAGUUCCUGUCAUGCGGGCGCAUGCUGAGAGUAUAAAUCUUCAGUUUGAGAACCAACUUGACGAGAGUUCUAAAUCUGUUCACUGUCCAGGACACAGCAAGGGAAAUUCUGAAGAAAGCGCCUGGGCUGGUUGUUAUUGAUGACCGGACAGCGAAUAACUUCCCUACACCGUUGGAGGUGUCAAACAAGGACGAUGUUGCAGUAGGCAGAAUCCGUCGUGAUGUGUCCCAAGAGGGGAACUAUGGGUUGGAUAUCUUUGUCUGCGGUGAUCAAAUACGCAAGGGAGCUGCACUUAAUGCUGUUCAGAUUGCCGAGAUGUUGAUAUAGUUAACUUCAAUUUCAAGGGCGACGUUUUUCUAUAUAAAUCUAUAUGAGAGGUGAGAUGAAGUGAUUUGAGUUGACUGUUUUAGUCUUCAGAUGUAGGCACAAGUUGAAAUCGAGCAAAUUAAGGCAGUUUCAUUGUUUAUUUUUGUAGAAUAAGAUAUCAGCAGCCGACCUCACUUAGUGGGAUCCGGCUUUGUUAUCGUAGAAUAAGAUAUUAGGCUUAUCAGUAAUUCAUUUAAGUGCAAUUGUUAGCAUAAUAUCCUUCCUUCUAGAGGGGGAAUUUUUGUUAUAAUGAUCUUGUAUUUUAAGAGAAUAUUUCACUC